UUAUGUCAUGUUAUCGAUAUGUGAAUACAUAGCAUAUCAGAAGGCACACCCGGAGAACUGAAACAUCUUAGUACCCGGAGGAAGAGAAAGAAAAUUCGAUUCCCUUAGUAGCGGCGAGCGAAACGGGAAGAGCCCAAACCAACAAGCUUGCUUGUUGGGGUUGUAGGACACUCUAUACGGAGUUACAAAGGACGACAUUAGACGAAUCAUCUGGAAAGAUGAAUCAAAGAAGGUAAUAAUCCUGUAGUCGAAAAUGUUGUCUCUCUUGAGUGGAUCCUGAGUACGACGGAGCACGUGAAAUUCCGUCGGAAUCUGGGAGGACCAUCUCCUAAGGCUAAAUACUCUCUAGUGACCGAUAGUGAACCAGUACCGUGAGGGAAAGGUGAAAAGCACCCCGGAAGGGGAGUGAAAUAGAACCUGAAACCGUGUGCUUACAAGUAGUCAGAGCCCGUUAAUGGGUGAUGGCGUGCCUUUUGUAGAAUGAACCGGCGAGUUACGAUUUGAUGCAAGGUUAAGCAGUAAAUGUGGAGCCGUAGCGAAAGCGAGUCUGAAUAGGGCGUUUAGUAUUUGGUC
Molecule: ribosomal RNA, 573 nt
Filed under: Staphylococcus aureus
Lineage: Bacteria; Bacillati; Bacillota; Bacilli; Caryophanales; Staphylococcaceae
Description: partial 23S ribosomal RNA
Rfam family: Bacterial large subunit ribosomal RNA
Source: RNAcentral